This is a long non-coding RNA of Lynx canadensis (Canada lynx), 2194 nucleotides long. RefSeq lists it as uncharacterized. The record is from RefSeq and is a predicted model, not a curated record. NCBI's taxonomy places the organism in Eukaryota, Metazoa, Chordata, Mammalia, Carnivora, Felidae. The transcript has 2 exons.
GGGGGUGGGGGUGGGGGGGGUGCGUGGGGGGGUGGGGGGGGAGCUGGGAGAAGGGAGCUGGGUGUGACCCAAUGCCAUCGAUUUCAUAACCCACUCCUACAGUUAAAAAAAACAAGGCCAAAAAACUUGUUCAUGGUACUUUUUUUUUUUUCUCAUUCUUUCUUAACACGGAUUUUAUUUUCUAUGAGCCUCUCUUUCACUUUUGUGGAAAUGCUGCAUUUCUACUCCUGCUCUAUUGUAACGGUACCCAUGAAAGACCAUCAAGAGAAUGAGGCCUGUUGUCAUUCUGUUGUGUCAACACAGGAUGCCCUUUCCUAUACAACCACCACCAGAUUCUCUGUGUAAGGAAGAGAACUUGCUCCAUGGCCCUGCACAGCCUUUGCAUUACACUAAUCCAAACUACACUCUUCUUUCCAAAAGAUGUCAUCCAAAGGGUGGACUUUAUGGGUGGAUCCUCAGCAGCCAUCCUCCCCUCAGCCCCCAGCUGACAGGUCUGUCCCUGUAAGUAGCUCAGGAAAGGGCAGGCGUAAGUGUGGACCUUGAAAGGCAUGGAAGGCCUGCUGGGUUCUUCUAAGAAAAAGCUAGUGCAGGAAGAUGAGCCCCGCCUCCCUGGUGCCCAUGAACAGGGAAACCUGUUACCCAGCCAUCAGUGGCAGUCACUGACCAGUCUCUGGAAAACCAGCCCUGGAAUCGGGCUGAUACUGGACAACAGAUUAGAGAAACCCAAAGAGCAUGGUUCUUAGGGACACUGUCUAAUCCUCAAAGUGCCCUGCUUUUGGACUUCCUCUUGUAGAGUUAAUUUCCUAGAUGUUUAAACCAAUUUGAUGUUGGUUUCUUCUCACCUGCUGUUGAAAACAGACUUCUUCUUCUUAGUGUGGAUACCUCUGUCCUCUCAACUGACUGUCAAUGUGUGCAAGCACAAAAACUGCCACAAUUAUAGAAGUCACAAAGCACAGGCUGAAUGAACUAACAGAAUGUACAAGCAUGUUGUUGACUGUCUUGUAGCCGAACAAACUCGGGCUCCAGCUUGGUCCUACCACUCCUAGCCCAGGUGGCCUCAGUCCCCAUUUAGGGCUUCAGUGUUUAGUGAUGACAUUUACACAGUUGAACAGAAGGCUGGGCUGGAUGAGGAAAAAACUCUGACCUUGUUACCCUGCAGUGGUGGUAGCAGGGCUGUCGGUGUCCUUGGCACUGGCCCCGUGGCAUACACCCAAAGGCUGCCCUCGGUCCACACCCACACAUGGGUCCAGGCUGCAUCCAAGGGAGAAUGAGUGGUCAGCUGAUCUGUCAGCCUGACCACAAUUCAAAGCCUACUUCUGAUAUGUGAAAGAAUUAUUACCAGGAGCCAGGAACUCAACCAAUGUCCCUGGACACUUUGUUUCUAGUGGGCUUUGUAUUAGUAAUCAUGAACAAGAAUUCUACCUACUUACUAAGACAAAUCCAGGCUGGAAAAACAUUGCAGGGAAGGUGGGAAGCUGCUAGAAAGUAAGUGCCUGCUUUCAGUGCAACUCCAGUUUCAUAAAAUUUGAUUCCCAGAAGCAGGCAGAGGCCAACCCUGUAAAGGUCUGUGUGUUUUUCUGACCCAUGUAUGAAGAAUUCAGGGAGAGGUCAUUCAAAACAAAUGGGGGGGGGGUGGUGACCAAAGGGGCCCAGCCUGCCUGUGUCAGGCCCUCCUCAGUCCUGGUUUCUCUUUCUUGCCAUUUUCAUGGAUAAGAAGGAAGGUCUUUUUUUGCAUAUUGUCUUCAUCUUGUAGUGUCACAGAGCAGGGCCCAUGACUUAUUUCACUUUGUACAAUGCAUGCCCUUCCCCCACAGGUUUAUGGUUUCCAGUCUGCUUUCUUGAGCAUUUGAUUUGUGCUUUGUCCCUGAACUCUUUGGAAAACUGUAAUAGUGUCCGUGUGACUGGUGAAGACACCGAGGCUCGGAGCUACUGAAGCGAAGCAUCAGAAAUAGGAUGUCAUAUGGUACAAGAGGCCUUCGGAUGACUUCCAGAUGCAUAAUUCUGCCCGGAGCUCAGACACUGACAAUGGCCAGUGACACACAGCAGACUGCGGAAGCUCCCACUACCUGGUGCCAAAGUCUUGCUGUACUUUUCAAAGGCUCAGAGGCUCUAGAAGGCCCACUGAAAUAUGACGAUGAAAAUGGUUGCAUUGGAAUUGAUCCCUCAAAAAUUAAUAAAAAGAUCUGUCUAAUCA